Molecule: ribosomal RNA, 285 nt
Filed under: uncultured bacterium
Lineage: Bacteria
Description: partial 16S ribosomal RNA
Rfam family: Bacterial small subunit ribosomal RNA
Source: RNAcentral
CCGUAGACCCGGAAGGGCGCGGGCCUUAGUGGCGGACGGGUGAGUAACGCGUGGGGAACCUGCCCCUACCGGGGGAUAACACCUGGAAACAGGUGCUAAUACCGCAUAACAGAAGGGGACGCAUGUUCCUUUCUUGAAAACUCCGGUGGUACGGGAUGGACCCGCGUCUGAUUAGCUGGUUGGCGGGGUAACGGCCCACCAAGGCGACGAUCAGUAGCCGGCCUGAGAGGGCGGACGGCCACAUUGGGACUGAGACACGGCCCAAACUCCUACGGGAGGCAGCAG